Molecule: ribosomal RNA, 468 nt
Filed under: uncultured bacterium
Lineage: Bacteria
Description: partial 16S ribosomal RNA
Rfam family: Bacterial small subunit ribosomal RNA
Source: RNAcentral
GACGAACGCUGGCGGCGUGCUUAACACAUGCAAGUCGAACGGAAAGGCCCUGCUUUUGUGGGGUGCUCGAGUGGCGAACGGGUGAGUAACACGUGAGUAACCUGCCCUUGACUUUGGGAUAACUUCAGGAAACUGGGGCUAAUACCGGAUAGGAGCUCCUGCUGCAUGGUGGGGGUUGGAAAGUUUCGGCGGUUGGGGAUGGACUCGCGGCUUAUCAGCUUGUUGGUGGGGUAGUGGCUUACCAAGGCUUUGACGGGUAGCCGGCCUGAGAGGGUGACCGGCCACAUUGGGACUGAGAUACGGCCCAGACUCCUACGGGAGGCAGCAGUGGGGAAUAUUGCACAAUGGGCGGAAGCCUGAUGCAGCAGCGCCGCAUGCGGGAUGACGGCCUUCGGGUUGUAAACCGCUUUCGCCUGUGACGAAGCGUGAGUGACGGUAAUGGGUAAAGAAGCACCGGCUAACUACGUG